UACGGAGGGUGCGAGCGUUGUCCGGAAUCACUGGGCGUAAAGGGCGCGUAGGCGGCCUGAUAAGUAGGGGGUGAAAUCCUGCGGCUUAACCGCAGGGCUGCCUUCUAAACUGUCAGGCUUGAGCACAGUAGAGGCAGGUGGAAUUCCCGGUGUAGCGGUGGAAUGUGUAGAGAUCGGGAGGAACACCGGUGGCGAAGGCGGUCUUCUGGACGGUGACUGACGCUGAGGCGCGAAAGCGUGGGGAGCAAACGGG
Molecule: ribosomal RNA, 253 nt
Filed under: uncultured bacterium
Lineage: Bacteria
Description: partial 16S ribosomal RNA
Rfam family: Bacterial small subunit ribosomal RNA
Source: RNAcentral